UACGGAGGAUGCGAGCGUUGUCCGGAUUUAUUGGGUUUAAAGGGUGCGUAGGCGGGCUGUUAAGUCAGCGGUGAAAGUUUGCGGCUCAACCGUAAAUUGCCGUUGAAACUGGCGGUCUUGAGUACAGACGAGGUAGGCGGAAUGUAACGUGUAGCGGUGAAAUGCUUAGAUAUGUUACAGAACUCCGAUUGCGAAGGCAGCCUACCAGGCUGUGACUGACGCUGGGGCACGAAAGCGUGGGUAUCAAACA
This 250-nucleotide ribosomal RNA is filed under the name uncultured prokaryote. RNAcentral describes it as "partial 16S ribosomal RNA". It matches the Rfam family "Bacterial small subunit ribosomal RNA", at positions 524 to 774 of the family's 1533-position model. The record is from RNAcentral.